GUCCUAAGAUGAGCUCAACGAGAACAGAAAUCUCGUGUGGAACAAAGGGGUAAAAGCUCAUUUGAUUUUGAUUUCCAGUACGAAUACGAACCGAGAAAGCGUGGCCUAAUGAUCCUUUAGAUGUUCGGAAUUUGAAGCUAAAGGUGUCAGAAACGUUAUCACAGGGAUAACUGGCUUGUGGCAGCUCGCUUGCCGACUCGUAGUAGGGGCCAUCCGGCCCCCAAAGGCACGUGUUGUUGGUGACGCCCGCGCGGCGGACGAGCUGCGCGGGCCACCUUGAAGUACAAUUCCUAUCUCGAGCGGCGGGUACAAUCCUCUGCAGAUGACUUAAAUACGCAACGAGGUAUUGUAAGUGGCAGAGUGGCCUUGCUGCCACGAUCCACUGAGAU
RNAcentral lists this ribosomal RNA (389 nucleotides) under Camellia sinensis. Its description in RNAcentral is "eukaryotic LSU rRNA". It matches the Rfam family "Eukaryotic large subunit ribosomal RNA", at positions 2660 to 3377 of the family's 3401-position model. Lineage: Eukaryota; Viridiplantae; Streptophyta; Magnoliopsida; Ericales; Theaceae. The record is from RNAcentral.